GAUGAACGCUGGCGGCGUGCCUAAUACAUGCAAGUCGAGCGAACGGACGAGAAGCUUGCUUCUCUGAUGUUAGCGGCGGACGGGUGAGUAACACGUGGAUAACCUACCUAUAAGACUGGGAUAACUUCGGGAAACCGGAGCUAAUACCGGAUAAUAUUUUGAACCGCAUGGUUCAAAAGUGAAAGACGGUCUUGCUGUCACUUAUAGAUGGAUCCGCGCUGCAUUAGCUAGUUGGUAAGGUAACGGCUUACCAAGGCAACGAUGCAUAGCCGACCUGAGAGGGUGAUCGGCCACACUGGAACUGAGACACGGUCCAGACUCCUACGGGAGGCAGCAGUAGGGAAUCUUCCGCAAUGGGCGAAAGCCUGACGGAGCAACGCCGCGUGAGUGAUGAAGGUCUUCGGAUCGUAAAACUCUGUUAUUAGGGAAGAACAUAUGUGUAAGUAACUGUGCACAUCUUGACGGUACCUAAUCAGAAAGCCACGGCUAACUACGUGCCAGCAGCCGCGGUAAUACGUAGGUGGCAAGCGUUAUCCGGAAUUAUUGGGCGUAAAGCGCGCGUAGGCGGUUUUUUAAGUCUGAUGUGAAAGCCCACGGCUCAACCGUGGAGGGUCAUUGGAAACUGGAAAACUUGAGUGCAGAAGAGGAAAGUGGAAUUCCAUGUGUAGCGGUGAAAUGCGCAGAGAUAUGGAGGAACACCAGUGGCGAAGGCGACUUUCUGGUCUGUAACUGACGCUGAUGUGCGAAAGCGUGGGGAUCAAACAGGAUUAGAUACCCUGGUAGUCCACGCCGUAAACGAUGAGUGCUAAGUGUUAGGGGGUUUCCGCCCCUUAGUGCUGCAGCUAACGCAUUAAGCACUCCGCCUGGGGAGUACGACCGCAAGGUUGAAACUCAAAGGAAUUGACAGGGACCCGCACAAGCGGUGGAGCAUGUGGUUUAAUUCGAAGCAACGCGAAGAACCUUACCAAAUCUUGACAUCCUUUGACAACUCUAGAGAUAGAGCCUUCCCCUUCGGGGGACAAAGUGACAGGUGGUGCAUGGUUGUCGUCAGCUCGUGUCGUGAGAUGUUGGGUUAAGUCCCGCAACGAGCGCAACCCUUAAGCUUAGUUGCCAUCAUUAAGUUGGGCACUCUAAGUUGACUGCCGGUGACAAACCGGAGGAAGGUGGGGAUGACGUCAAAUCAUCAUGCCCCUUAUGAUUUGGGCUACACACGUGCUACAAUGGACAAUACAAAGGGCAGCGAAACCGCGAGGUCAAGCAAAUCCCAUAAAGUUGUCCUCAGUUCGGAUUGUAGUCUGCAACUCGACUACAUGAAGCUGGAAUCGCUAGUAAUCGUAGAUCAGCAUGCUACGGUGAAUACGUUCCCGGGUCU
This 1372-nucleotide ribosomal RNA is filed under the name uncultured bacterium. RNAcentral's name for it is "bacterial SSU rRNA". It matches the Rfam family "Bacterial small subunit ribosomal RNA", at positions 28 to 1381 of the family's 1533-position model. The record is from RNAcentral.